UGGAAUUAAAACAAAGGCACAGUGAACUCAGCAUCUUUGGGAUUACUCAGGAACCAGAACUUUUCACACAAAUGUAAGAAAUUCUACCAAGGAAUCCCUUUAUCUAACAGCAUCUCACAAAGCUCCAAUCAGAUUCCAGAAAAGGCCUCUUGAUACAUCCAGGUAGAACCUA
This is a non-coding RNA of Felis catus (domestic cat), 172 nucleotides long. Lineage: Eukaryota; Metazoa; Chordata; Mammalia; Carnivora; Felidae. The record is from Rfam.